UACGGAGGGUGCAAGCGUUGUUCGGAAUCACUGGGCGUAAAGCGCGUGUAGGCGGCCUCUUAAGUCUGAUGUGAAAGCCCGGGGCUUACCCCCGGAAGGGCAUUGGAAACUGGGAGGCUGGAGUACCGGAGAGGGCAGUGGAAUUCCUAGUGUAGGAGUGAAAUGCGUAGAUAUCAGGAGGAACACCGGUGGCGAAGGCGGCCUUCUGGACGGAUACUGACGCUGAGACGCGAAAGCGUGGGGAGCAAACAGG
RNAcentral lists this ribosomal RNA (253 nucleotides) under uncultured bacterium. RNAcentral describes it as "partial 16S ribosomal RNA". It matches the Rfam family "Bacterial small subunit ribosomal RNA", at positions 524 to 776 of the family's 1533-position model. The record is from RNAcentral.